RNAcentral lists this ribosomal RNA (762 nucleotides) under uncultured bacterium. RNAcentral describes it as "bacterial SSU rRNA". It matches the Rfam family "Bacterial small subunit ribosomal RNA", at positions 28 to 774 of the family's 1533-position model. The record is from RNAcentral.
GAUGAACGCUGGCGGCGUGCCUAACACAUGCAAGUCGAACGGAAGCUUAACGCUGACGAGACUUCGGUCAAAUCUUGUUAAGCUUUAGUGGCGGACGGGUGAGUAACGCGUGGGCAACCUGCCUCAUACUGGGGGAUAACAGUUGGAAACGACUGUUAAUACCGCAUAAGCGCACAGUGUCGCAUGACACAGUGUGAAAAACUCCGGUGGUAUGAGAUGGGCCCGCGUCAGAUUAGCUAGUUGGCGGGGUAACGGCCCACCAAGGCGACGAUCUGUAGCCGGACUGAGAGGUCGGACGGCCACAUUGGGACUGAGACACGGCCCAAACUCCUACGGGAGGCAGCAGUGGGGGAUAUUGCACAAUGGAGGAAACUCUGAUGCAGCGACGCCGCGUGAGUGAAGAAGUAUUUCGGUAUGUAAAGCUCUAUCAGCAGGGAAGAAAGGCUCGCAAGAGAGAUGACGGUACCUGACUAAGAAGCCCCGGCUAACUACGUGCCAGCAGCCGCGGUAAUACGUAGGGGGCAAGCGUUAUCCGGAUUUACUGGGUGUAAAGGGAGCGCAGACGGUCAAGCAAGUCUGAAGUGAAACCCCACGGCUCAACCGUGGGCUUGCUUUGGAAACUGUUUGACUAGAGUACUGGAGAGGUAAGCGGAAUUCCUAGUGUAGCGGUGAAAUGCGUAGAUAUUAGGAGGAACAUCGGUGGCGAAGGCGGCUUACUGGACAGCAACUGACGUUGAGGCUCGAAGGCGUGGGGAGCAAACA